RNAcentral lists this ribosomal RNA (208 nucleotides) under Bacillus sp. RG1. RNAcentral describes it as "partial 16S ribosomal RNA". It matches the Rfam family "Bacterial small subunit ribosomal RNA", at positions 303 to 504 of the family's 1533-position model. The record is from RNAcentral. Lineage: Bacteria; Bacillati; Bacillota; Bacilli; Caryophanales; Bacillaceae.
UCCGGCCGCCAUGGCGGCCGCGGGAAUUCGAUUCCUACGGGAGGCAGCAGUAGGGAAUCUUCCGCAAUGGACGAAAGUCUGACGGAGCAACGCCGCGUGAGUGAUGAAGGCUUUCGGGUCGUAAAACUCUGUUGUUAGGGAAGAACAAGUGCUAGUUGAAUAAGCUGGCACCUUGACGGUACCUAACCAGAAAGCCACGGCUAACUAC